This 492-nucleotide ribosomal RNA is filed under the name uncultured bacterium. RNAcentral's name for it is "partial 16S ribosomal RNA". It matches the Rfam family "Bacterial small subunit ribosomal RNA", at positions 29 to 507 of the family's 1533-position model. The record is from RNAcentral.
AGUGAACGCUGGCGGUAGGCCUAACACAUGCCAGUCGAACGGCAGCACAGUAAGAGCUUGCUCUUACGGGUGGCGAGUGGCGGACGGGUGAGGAAUACAUCGGAAUCUACUUUUUCGUGGGGGAUAACGUAGGGAAACUUACGCUAAUACCGCAUACGACCUACGGGUGAAAGCAGGGGAUCUUCGGACCUUGCGCGAUUGAAUGAGCCGAUGUCGGAUUAGCUAGUUGGCGGGGUAAAGGCCCACCAAGGCGACGAUCCGUAGCUGGACUGAGAGGAUGAUCAGCCACACUGGAACUGAGACACGGUCCAGACUCCUACGGGAGGCAGCAGUGGGGAAUAUUGGACAAUGGGCGCAAGCCUGAUCCAGCCAUACCGCGUGGGUGAAGAGGGCCUUCGGGUUGUAAAGCCCUUUUGUUGGGAAAGAAAAGCAGCAGGUUAAUACCCCGCUGUUCUGACGGUACCCAAAGAAUAAGCACCGGCUAACUUCGUG